CAGAGGGUGCAAGCGUUGUUCGGAAUUACUGGGCGUAAAGCGCGCGCAGGCGGAUCCUGCAAGUCCGGAGUGAAAUCUCACUGCUCAACGGUGGGGCUGCUUUGGAUACUGCGGAUCUGGAGACCGGUAGAGGCUGGUAGAAUUGCAGGUGUAGCGGUGGAAUGCGUAGAGAUCUGCAAGAAUACCCGUGGCGAAGGCGGCCAGCUGGGCCGGUUCUGACGCUGAGGCGCGAAAGCGUGGGGAGCAAACAGGAUUAGAUACCCUGGUAGUCCACGCCGUAAACGAUGGGCACUAGGUGCUGGGGGGAGCGACCCCGUCAGUGCCGUAGCUAACGCGAUAAGUGCCCCGCCUGGGGAGUACGGCCGCAAGGCUG
Molecule: ribosomal RNA, 373 nt
Filed under: uncultured organism
Description: bacterial SSU rRNA
Rfam family: Bacterial small subunit ribosomal RNA
Source: RNAcentral